RNAcentral lists this ribosomal RNA (364 nucleotides) under uncultured bacterium. RNAcentral describes it as "bacterial SSU rRNA". It matches the Rfam family "Bacterial small subunit ribosomal RNA", at positions 438 to 792 of the family's 1533-position model. The record is from RNAcentral.
AGUAGGGAGGAAGGUAGUGUAGUUAACACCUGCAUUAUUUGACGUUACCUACAGAAGAAGCACCGGCUAACUCCGUGCCAGCAGCCGCGGUAAUACGGAGGGUGCGAGCGUUAAUCGGAAUUACUGGGCGUAAAGCGCAUGCAGGCGGCCUGUUAAGUCAGAUGUGAAAGCCCCGGGGCUCAACCUCGGAACUGCAUUUGAAACUGGCAGACUAGAGUACUGUAGAGGGGGUAGAAGUUUCAGGUGUAGCGGUGAAAUGCGUAGAGAUCUGAAGGAAUACCGGUGGCGAAGGCGGCCCCCCUGGACAGAUACUGACACUCAGAUGCGAAAGCGUGGGGAGCAAACAGGAUUAGAUACCCUGGAG